Molecule: long non-coding RNA, 1886 nt
Filed under: Homo sapiens (human)
Lineage: Eukaryota; Metazoa; Chordata; Mammalia; Primates; Hominidae
Description: HSALNT0308505
Source: RNAcentral
CAAGAGCUGUGCUGCCCAUGGGAGUCCAGAGAAGGAGCACACUAAGGACCAACACCAGGAUACAGAGAGAAGACAGCUGUCUGCAAACCAGAAAGAGAGUCCUCACUGCACUUCAUAUCUGCCAAUGGAUCCUUGCUCUUGAACCUCCCAACCUGCAGAAUCAUGAGAAACAAACAUUGUCAUUUGCUCUAGGGGAAGCCUGCAGCUAUGUCAUGAGGACCCUCAACAGCCCUGUGCAGAGGACUAUGUGGCAUGAAAGAUACCUUCUGCCAACAACCAGCCCCAACUUGCCAAGCAUGUGAACAAGCUAAACUGAAAGCAGAUCUUCAGCCCCAAUCAAGCCUUCAGAUGACAGUAACCUCAGCCAAUAUACUGACUAUAACCUCAUAAAAGACCCUGAACCAGAACCCUCUAAGCCACUCUCAAACUCUACCCCACAUAAACUGUGAAAUAAUAUAUGUUUAUUGUUAUUUUGGGCCACUAAGUUUAGGGGUAAUUUGUUAUGCAGCAAUUAUAUAACCAAUAUUCCAACUAAAGCUGAAAUGCCUCCUGCAUUUCCUCCCUCAGUGGCCUACACUACAAUCCAAGUUCAGGAAAAAACGAGAACCUUAUUUAAGGUAGUGGCAAGAAAUGAAUGGAUUAACUGGACAUUUAAAAAGUAUUUGAUAGAACUUGGUGAUAGGAGGUGGGGCAGUUAGGGACUAGCAGGAAUUUAGGAUGAGAGGCUCAUUCAGUUGGGCUUAUGUUUUACUGAGGUCAAUUCCAAAAGGAAGGAAAGAAAAAUCCAGCCAAAUAACCUUUAAUGGACUAAGUCUUCUUUCAUAAGUCAGUUUGCACAACUUCUUCACAGGAAUCAGAUUUUAAAUAUCAUAACUGAAGAGAAAAAAAACAGCAAGAGGAGUUUACCUUUAUGGUGGAAUGACACUAAUCUUUCAUGCUUUCAAAUUUCUUGAAAUUUCCUUCGUAUGCAUUAUCUUAUUUGCUGUUCACAGUAAAACUGUGUAUUGGCUAAGCCAGUUUUUAUGAAAAUAUAAGCAGUGAGAAAAAGUAAGAUAGUAUGUCAGUUAGUAGAUUUUUUUAUGGACAUUGUGACAGAGGACACAACUUAAACUGGCUUUUUUUUUUUUUUUUUUUUUUUUGAGACAGAGUUUUGCUCUUGUUGCCCAGGCUGGAGUGCAAUGGCACGAUCUCGGCUCACUGCAACCUCCGCCCCCUGGGUUCAAGUGAUUCUCCUGCCUCAGCCUCCCGAGUAGCUGGAAACACAGGUGCCUGCCACCGCGUCCGGCUAAUUUUUUGUAUUUUUAGUAGAGAUGGAGUUUCACCAUGUUGGCCAGGCUAGUCUCAAACUCCUGACCUCAGGUGAUCCACCUGCCUCAGCCUCCCAAACUGCUGGGAUUACAGGUGUGAGCCACCGCACCUGGCAAAAGGGUUUUGUUUCUAAAGGUACAAGAACAGGUACAGCUUCGGGUCAGUGUGAUUCAGCCCUCAACAAAGCCACCAGGAUCCAUUUCUUGGCUCUGCUUCAUUGCUUCUCAUAGGCUGGCUCAUUCUCAGACUGUACGUGAUAUGGUUCAGUGGCUUUAGGCUCCAAGCAUGACAACACCCAACACUCAGAUUGAUGGAGCUAGAGCAAGUCUCUUCAGGCAGCGUCUAGGAAAGUUCUGAAAUUCACUCUGAUUGGCUGCCCAUCUCUGAAUCAACCACGUAACCCAAGGAAAUAGGAACUGCUGAUGGGUCAGGGUCGGUUCACAUGCUUCAUACCUGGAGCUGAGAAGACAUCAACUCCAUCCUGGAGCUCAUGGGCUGUGACUAGAGCAGACGGAGUUCUCAGAGGAAAGUCAGAGUACAGUUAUCAAAGCAAGCAGUUACAGAUGCUAGAUGACCAA